RNAcentral lists this ribosomal RNA (253 nucleotides) under uncultured bacterium. Its description in RNAcentral is "partial 16S ribosomal RNA". It matches the Rfam family "Bacterial small subunit ribosomal RNA", at positions 524 to 776 of the family's 1533-position model. The record is from RNAcentral.
UACAGGGGGUGCAAACGUUGCUCGGAAUUAUUGGGCGUAAAGCGCGCGUAGGCGGCUACUUAAGUCGGAUGUGAAAGCCCGAGGCUCAACCUCGGAACUGCCUUCGAUACUGCGGGUCUCGAGUCCGGGAGAGGUGAGUGGAAUUCCUAGUGUAGAGGUGAAAUUCGUAGAUAUUAGGAAGAACACCAGUGGCGAAGGCGGCUCACUGGCCCGGUACUGACGCUGAGGCGCGAAAGCGUGGGGAGCAAACAGG